RNAcentral lists this transfer RNA (69 nucleotides) under Arge aurora. RNAcentral describes it as "Arge sp. CSCS-Hym-MC0179 tRNA-Gln". It matches the Rfam family "tRNA". From Rfam's summary of the family: Transfer RNA (tRNA) molecules are approximately 80 nucleotides in length. Their secondary structure includes four short double-helical elements and three loops (D, anti-codon, and T loops). Lineage: Eukaryota; Metazoa; Arthropoda; Insecta; Hymenoptera; Argidae. The record is from RNAcentral.
UAUUAAUUAAUGUAUGAAGCAUAAAAGUUUUUGAAGCUUUAAGAAAUAGUUUAAUUCUGUUAUUAAUAA